UGUGCUGUAGGCACCAGCUAGAUCUUGCCCUCCAUAUAUUUAUACAACUUAAAAUGUCCUAUUUCCAGAAACAGCCAUUGGACACAUCUCACUUCCCAGAGCCCAUCUAAUCAUCCUAUAAAGGCAUGUUCAGAUCCGGGUAGUCAAGCCCAAGCAAGGUUUAUUUGUUUUCAGAUACUUUCUCCCCAUUGAUGACCUGGAAAUUCUUUCCAGAAUUGCCAGUAAGUUCUGUUUUCAUCUUAGACAAAUGACCACACAGUCAGAUAAAAAAUUACACAAAUACCUAACUGGUGAUGGGAAAACGAUGCUAAGUUCAUAAAACCAUUCUUAACUCAUUAGCUAAUAUUGUUUGGACUCACGUUUACAAUGUCUCAAGCACGGUAGGAUGAUUAGGUUUUGUUCAAAUCAGCAGGCAGGCUUAGAGGGGGUAGGUAGUUUUCUUAAGUGUUUCAACAACACAUUUUUCAGACAAUUUAGAGUAAGCAUGGCAAUUCUUCUCAUUACUUAAAAAAAAAAUGAGUGGCCACUCACCUCCCUCACUCUAUGGUGGUAUUUGACAAUAUUUACAAAGCAUAAAUACAACUUUAAAAAUACAGAGUGUGCAUGUUGAGAGGUCCCAACCAAGGGCAUGAAGAAGCAGAGCGCGUGCUCAGCCUCCAGGAACAUCCUGCUCUGUAUGUUUCUGAGACAGCAGCUCCAGUUCCUUCGGUUCCUUGAUUAAAUCUUGAUUAAAAUCAGUGCAGCAGUUGUCGAAUGGGAAGUGGUUCUCGCCCUCCUUGCUCUGUUGUAGGUAACAUCCCUUGAUUGCUUCAGACAGUUAAAGGUGCUUUGGUAGUAAAAGGACAGCAAGAUUAAUGGGCAGUCAUUUCCAUAGUAACAGCAAAGCACUCUGGGAAACGGAGCCACUUGGGAGUUGGAGUUACACAUGCCAGGAUUUCAGCUCCCAUGGCAACAGCAGAGUGUGGGGUGGAGAUGAGCACACUUUGAAACUUAGCAAAGGUCCGCUCACUGAAGACAAUGUAUAAUCAGAGUUGUCAAUCUAUUUUAAAACUCGAAGUUAAAAUAAAUCAAAUUUGAGGCCACACGCUGAUGCAAAACAUUUAAAAUACACUGUACAUCCAACUGAAAAUUUCUGAAGCAUAAGCACAAAUAGUUUAAGAACUAUCCAAUUGUGACAACUUGUUAGUUUAAAAAAAAAUCCAAUUACCCAGAUUUUUGUCCCAGAGUAGUUGCAGAAAAUUACACAAUUAGAGCGAUUUUUUCUCAGCUGCUCCACUAUAGAAAACGAAAGUAAUUAUACAGAAAUAGUGCAAAGUGCUUUUCACAACUGCAAGUUUCAGUUUUGCUUUCUUUAGAAGAAAUUCUGUUUUUCUUCUAGAUAAUCAUCUCACCAAAAAGUUGGAGAGAGCCAGAGUAACAUAGAGAGAGAGAGAGAGAGAGAGAGAGAGAGAGAGAGAGAGAAACAACAGCUAAAAGAAGAAUCAGGAACAAAGCAAAAGGUAAGAGGAAUACUAAAUGACUCAUGAGAAACCGAAAAGAAUCCAAAAAAAGCUAAGAACCCAGAAUCUCAAUUACAGUAGUAGGAGAAGGCUGGCACAAAAAGGAUCCCCUGGUGAUAUUAACACCGGAGUCCAUGUUUUUGAAGGUCUCCUUUACCAUGCAUAAAAUCAGAACCCACUUGGGAAGUCAGCACCCGCUUAGCACAGGACUUUCUUUUCCUUCUAGAGAGAUUGAUCAGGUCCACACAGAUAUCAAACAGAAGUUUGGGGAUUAUCUGGUGAUAGCUUGUAGGUAGUGGUUAAUUGCUAACAGAACCUAUUAUAGUAAAUCUGUAUGGGUAGAUCCACACUUCAUUAAGAACGUUUUUGCCAGAAGAAUUUCCUGAGAUGUCAUUGUAUGUGCACAAGGAGUAGGGGAGAUAGAUAAUAGUGGUCCAGUCCAGUUCCUCUUCUGGUUGCCCAUUAUACCCAGGAGGCUGUGGAUACCAAAAUGUCCUUUAGGCAUGUGAAGACUCUGGUCAGUUUUCUCAGAGAAGAGCAAAGUCUGUUUGUGAAGGCUCAGCUCAACAUCUACAUUGAAAAAUAAGACUUCUUACAAGAAGUAUUUAUGGAGUUCUCCAAAUGUGCACCAGAAGACAUUUAGGUAUGAUCCUUUUUGCCAUCACCCUAGCCAGCAUUAUUGUGUCAUGACCAAUUUUCUGCCUUUAGCAGAUUGAUCCAUGAGUAGGUACCUUUGGGCUUGGCUAGUCAAAGUCAUUAUCCAGGAUGCUGGAAUUUGGGAUUCUGUGAGCUGACUAAAGCUGUAAAUUUAAAAGCUUUGAAGUUAUUAGUGGCCAUGACUUUUGGCCCAAGGAUAAGCUUUCCAGAGAAAAGAAUAAAGGCAUAGAGAGAAGCAGACCGGAGAUGCAGGCCCGAUGUAGGUAAUGCUUAGACCCCACUCCAGCGGUGUCUGAAGCCCACGUCCUGUGACUUGGGUGUGCCCUUCCAGGAAGCUCUUGUCCACAGCCUUUUCUUGUUUGUUUGUUCGGCCACUCGAGCUCAAGCUCCACAUUCCUCUUGCAGCUAGGUGUUACAAUUAAUGUAGCAGCCAUUUCUCACAGUCUCUAAAAAAGUGGCAAAAGGAAGAAAGAGGAGCCACGGCUGAGCAAAUGGCGUGGGGGAAGGCGGAGGCAGAGAAAUCAUUGCAGUGCCGCAGUGUGACUUUCCUUCCAUCCGGAGGUUUGUGAGGAAAGGAAAGGAGGGCUGAGGAGCCACCGCAACCUGGAGGUCGACAGAAGUAUCCCGGAUAGCAGCCGCAUCAAAAACCAGACCAGAACCCAGCAACUUCCCUAACUACCUGCAGAGGAUGAUGGGAUCCGAAUCCAGCGAACAUGGAUAUGAUGAUAGGAACAGGAAAAGCCAUCUCAACAGCAUGAGGAACAGGUCCAGAAGGUAACAGAGACCUUGCACUUCUGUGCCAAACUGCCUACUGUUAGCUCCCAGACUCCUCAGUUCAGGAGAAAUGGAAACCCCACAUUCUGAAGCCACCCUGUCUGUGUCUUCUCUCUUGGUGACUGAAUGCAAUUCAUGUACUGUCGAGGCACAGCAUGACCAGAGAAGAAGGCAUGAGAUCUCCUGGAGCUGGAGUUAUAGGAGGUUCUCAGCAGCCUGAUGUGGAUGAUGAAAACUGAACUCCGGUCCUCUGCAAGAGCGGUGAGAAUUGUGGUUUUGCAUCAAGACUUUUACUGUUUCCUUGAGACAACCUGGGAAUUGAACGCGGUUCCUCUGGAACAUCAGUCUGUGCCCUUAACCACUGAGCCACAACACAUGACUACAUGUCUAUGUGUUCUGCAGCACAAAACGGACAGCACACUGUGAUGCUGUCUUCAUGAGGAACACAGAGUCUGGAGAAGCGGCCUAACCUGGUAAUUAUUUUAGAAAAUUGUGAGACAGUAGAAUAAGUCCUUGGAUGCUUCCCGUGGAAUUCUUUGGAUCAAAACAUUUACUCUGCCAGAGGGAAUAUUCCAGAAAAACUCCCAAAGAGAAGCAGUGUCCUUGGCUAUGGGGAGGACUCCAGCUUUUUACCAUUCAUAUCACCGCAAGACUUGGUUUCUAUGUUCACAUACACCAUUCCUGUAAAGGACUACCGAUAGAUAAGAACUAUGAGGAGCUGUAUCUAUUGAUGACACCAUGGAUGACUGGAGACCAACAUAUCAGCCUAGACCAGCAUAUCUGUAGCCUGUAACCUGAAUCAGGCAUGGUUCUGACCCAAGCUAGCCAAUGACCGGAAUGGCUGAUUGUAUUUAGUUGCUGUACUCCAAGGCUGAAAGGCCCUGGACAACAGGGGCCUAACACUCAGAGGAGGCCAGAAAAGCUGAUUUGUAAAAAGAAGCGUGGAGUAAUUGGCAGAUGACAUGGGGAUGUAGAAAUGGGGGGGGAAAUAGAGGAACUCUAGACUGUGAGGCUCUAAACAACAGAAUGACUGUAUGUUCUGUGUUUUGACCUACGUGCCAAUAAAUAGGUAUUGAUAGGGAAAGAAGAGAAACAUCUUAGGAUGCUAAGUUUUAGGUCCAAUGAGGACUAAUGAUGCUUUGCUUUAUGUGACGGUAGUCUGCAGUUCCUAUCUGAGGUCUAUCAAUGACCGGUGUUUGUUUUCCUUCUUUAUUUUGAGCUUGUUAGAUGGUGUAUCUGUCUGUGUUACCAAAGCAGCUGGAAUCUUAGCAAGAUGUGAUCAGAGUUCCUAAGCAAGAACAUACAGCCCAGAUUUUGAUGUGAGGACCUCUUCCUUGAAUCUCAGCUAAGCAAAUGUUCAUUGCCUACACUUCUGUUAGUUCAUCCUAUGCCUAAUGCUUUAGAAAGCCUCCUUCCAACAGGGAAACAUUCGUAAUCUACCUAACAAGAUAUUCUGGGCAUCCUGCUGUCUAAACAUGGCUCCUUUAAAUAAUUUUUCCCACAUGACUUCCUAAUUGUGGUUCUACUCACAAGACAAGCAUUCAUAUCGUAUCAUUCUUCUAGACUUUGACCAGACACUGUUUAUUAAACUGCUUUGUUAAGCCUUUAUUUCAAAUGGAACAAUCCAGAAAACCACAAUUUCUCCAGUAGACGUCUCCAAAGUCCAAAUGAGGUGGCUUGUCUAUAUUAUGACCCCAGAGUUGAACAACUCAAAAUCUCUGGUUCCAAAGCACUAGUGGGUGUUCUACUGAAGAUUUCCUGUUAGCCCUAACUCCCAAAUAGAGAUGGGGGAAGGUGUGUAAUUAUACCACUUUUUGGCCUGCCAAAUUCUUAGAUUGUGUUAAUAACAAGUCUAGGUAUAUUUACUGUUUUUUUUUAAAGCUUUGUACUCUUUAAGGACCAUUUGAUUUAACCCUUUCUUUUGUAAAGCAACUAUGUAGACUUUACAAGAUGCUAAUAUGGUAUAUCUUGAGACUCUAACAGAAUGGUUAAAUAAAUAUGUAAGGUAUUAAAAUACUACUAGAGAAUAAUUCCAAAGAAAGCGGUAUUAGUAUUCUUGUUCACAAAUUUUCAUUCCGAGAUAUGUUAUUUGAUGCUAUUGUGGGUGAAAUUAUUUCCCUGAUUUCUUAAAAAUAAUUUUUUUUCUCGAGACAGAGUUUCUCUGUAUAGUUUUGGUACCUUUCCUGGAUCUCGCUCUGUAGACUAGGCUGGCCUCAAACUCACAGAGAUCCACCUGGCUCUGGCUCCCAAGUGCUGGGAUUAAAGGCUUGCGCCACCACUGCCCGGCUAAAAAAAAAAUUAAAUUAUAAUAUGAUUCCGUCGUUUCCCUCCUCUUGUUUUCUUUCCAACCUCUCCCAUUCUUCUCCACCAGCUCCCUGCUCGCAAAUUCAUGGCUUCUUUACCUUGAAUUGUUAUCAUCACACACACACACACACACACACACACACACACACACACACACACACACACACACACACACACACACACACACACCCUGAUGAUUCCGUCUAGUGUUGCUUGUAUGUAGGUAUGUAUGCAGAUCUGACCACUUGGUAUUGGAUAACCAAUCGGGGGGAGGGGUUAUCCCUGGGCAAAACCAUUUCUCCUGUUUUCAGCAUUCCUUAGCUGCCUUGUCUAAGCUUGGAGCCUGGGCCUUCCUCCUACCACUUUAGCAUAUCUAUUGGUGGUGUUCUAGCUUAGGUUUUGUUUAGGCAGACACAGUGUUCAGGUAUCAUGGGUGCAGCUUUUCUGUCAUUUCUAGGAGACACGAUGUCACAGCAGAUUUCUUGGUCCUCUGGCACGUAGAGUCUCUCCACUUCCUCUUUUUCUAUGUUCCCUGAGCCAUAGGUGCAGGAGCUGUGUUGUAGAUGUAGCCACUGAGAAUUUUGAGUUGUGGUUUUAUGCUGUGAUCUCCAAUGUUGCAAAGAGAACACCUCUCCUUGAUGAGAGGUGAAAUCUAUACCUAUCUGUGGGUAUGAGGAUAAGAAUUUAGAACGGAGGGAUGAUGGCAGGCAGGUCAGGAAUAUUUCUUCAUUAUGAAAAGUGUGAGAGCAUCUGUCUCCUUUCUUGUGUCUUCUGUUGUGGGAAAGCUUUGGACUCCUUUAGAAAAUGUGGAUGGGGAAAUGGUCCUCAAUUUCCAUAUCUGCAAAAUGGAGAUGUCGGACUAGCUGAGAAGCGAUAAGUUCCCCUCGUUUCUGAUUAUUUUAUACAAUGUAUUAAGAAAAAGUAAGACUGAAUAGCAAUGGGAAAGUGGGUGUGGACAUAGCCUCAGCUAGAGGGUCUGUCAAGAUGAGAACCAGAAGGGUUUCGUUUACUUGGGAAGUAAAGAGCCCUGUAAUCAGGGCAGAUGCUUUCCUCACUGGCUCUUUUAAAACAGAUGAAGAAAUGACACCAUGGCUUGCCUAGAUCUGAUCCAACUGAACCUGAGGUGAACCAUGUUACAGGUCUUGGUUAAGCUACACUGGGAAAAAUCAGAGUAAGAGUUGAGUUUUUAGCAGUCUACAGUUCCUGUUCACGUUCUCGUUUACGAUCACUUCAGAGCCAACCUAGUGGUCAUUGACUUCCAUGUCGGUCUUAAUUGGUGUAGCUCGUAAACAUUUCAUAGUCUCUAGCUGAAAAGGAAGCUAUCUCUUUGCUUUGGCUGUCACCGCAUCAUCCAUAUUCCUUUCAAAAGCCCCAUUUACAGUAGUGUAUUGAGACCAAUGUCAAGGGGCACACCUUGGUCUUGCAGUUGGGCACAUAGAAGAGAAUCGAGUCUGCCUCUAGUUCUCCUCCCUCCUCCGUGUCCUUUCUUCUUCGCCUAGGCUCCACCAGCUUGUGUGGCCAGAACUCCUUACCUUCACUGCGGAGAAAAUUUCACUCCAUUGAAAAGGGCUUUUUAGGGGAGAAAUCAGACAAGUAAGGCCUGACAGACAAACACUGUUUGCCAUGUGGAAAUAAAAUGGAUUGCCAUGCUCUGGCUGGCCUAGUUACCCAUGAGGGGAAAGUACUUAGGGACAAAACACAAAACCUGUGUAUGGUAAUGACUGUUUUCUUUUGCCUUGCCUUGUCUUCUUUUGUCAUUGUUUAUGUGGUACCUGGAUAUUUGCUGGUUGGAAAAUCCUACAGGCAGCUUACACUCUUUUUGGAUGCCAUAGGCAUGACAUCUGGGCCUUGGCACCAGCUCCUCUCCAACUCAGCUUAUCUUCAAUGCAUUGCAUCUUCUCGAAUCUCAAAGGCUCUGAGUAGUGAAGGAGCCAAUGCCAUGGACAGGGAGCAUAGCUUGGAUCCAAACCCUGGAAGACAAUGGAGUCCCAUUGUGACUGACACAGUGAGCCACUGGAUGGCACUGUGGGUCCAUGAAGACGAGGAUGGGAGGACAUUUGUCUCUCUUUUUAAAAGGCCAUUUAAGUUUGACAGGUAAUUUGGCACAUUUUGAGUUUGAGUGUGCCAAAUGAUUUGGCAAAUAUUUCACUUACCUCUGAAAAUAGGCACACCUGCUGUUGUGGCCUGCAGGAAGGUGGAGGUUGGUAGCUUUUCCCUCAACUCCCUUGUUGAUGCUAAUUUCAGAGAUGAGAAAAAAAAAAAGAUUUGAGUAGGGAUAUAGAGACAACCUACUAUGGUUUCCAGUGUGGUACCAUGCUUUGGAAAAUGGCCAAAGGUUUGUAUUUCUCCUGAGCCCAACCUCUCCAUUCCCAGGGAACAUCUUUUUGUCUUCCCAGUACUGUAUUCCCAGGACCACCCCCACAUAGGUGGCUCAGCUGGCUCUUGGCCAAAUGGAUUGAGAUUUAUAUGAAGAGUUGUGUCCUCUAGUGGUACUCCAACCAAGAACAUUGGCAAAAUCCAUCUCCAACUUUUCUUUUUCUCAAGAAAUCUCUGCUGAUUACUUAGUGUGUUUAAUAACCGGAAGACCAAGGCAAUAUGAGAAUGCCUCCUAAGCUGCCUCUUAACCAUCCUGAAGGCAUUAUUAAUUUGCUGAACGUGAUGGUAACAGUCACGUGUGGACAUUCCCUACCUGUGGGAGAAUGUGGGUGACAGGCUGAAACAUGAGGCCCUUAGGCCAAGGUCCUAGUGUGCCAAAUUUAAGUCCAUCUCCUGUAAUACAUGCUACUCAGUAGGAUAUAUUGGAGUACAAAUAAAUAAAAAUGGUAUUAUUAUCAGUAUAAUUUGAAGUCCAAGCUAAUCUUUAAAAUGGUGAAGCAUUUUCAAAGCCAAUUACUAUAUUUAACACGCCUAUAGUAUAACGUGGGACCACUUGCCAAAUGCUGAGUGAUUACCCAGAACAGGUUGGGAAUGGACAGGUUAGAGAAGAGAGAUUAGUGAGUCCUGUCAGAACCAUGUAUGGACUAGUAAAAGAAACUACUGUAAUUGUGUCAAAUCUAUUAAUCUUUUGACAAAUACCAAGGAAGCAUGUGAUAGUGGGAUGACACGGGCUUCAAAAUGUGAGGAAUGGCUUCUAGUUCCAAGCCCACCCAGCAGCUAUGCCAAGACCGCAGACAUUAUUAACUCUCCAACCUGUUUUCCUACCUAAGCAUGGAAAAAGCGGUUCGGAUGAACUCCUGUGGCUAGAAACCAUUGGGAUAUCCUUUAGUUUAGGCAGUUGCAAACAUUUUCAAGUAUCUCUUGGUAUGUAUUAGGAUUGUAUAUAGCAGUAGUGGAUGGGAGAGUAUAUUUAUUUAAGUAAAAUCCAAACUAAAUAAUUACCAUUUUUUAAUGCAACAAAUAGCAGUGCCAUAAAAAGAAACUUUUGGAAACAGUGAGCUACUUUAUGAAAAAAAUACAUAUUUAUGUUUUCAGCAUCUAGCUAAUGAGUCUCAAUGAAGUUCUUUCAUAAGUUUUUUAGUCUUUAGAUACUUAUUAGUUUUUUUUUUAUUUUGUUUUGUUUAGUCAUUCCUCUGUAUCAUAACCCUAACGUUUCACUUCAUGAGAGGCCAGAUGAAGAACAUUAUGGAGGUUGAUGGUGAACUUGGUAAGAGGUUUCUGUAGACUGACACAGUGGAAACCUAUUUGGAGUGGGUUGAAAGAGAAUGGGAGGUGAGGGGCUAGUGAGAUGGCUAAUUGCGUAAAGUAUUUACUGCGCGAGUGUGAGGAGGAGAGUUUGGGUCAGCAACAGCUAUCUAAAAGCUGCAUAGGUGAGGCUGGCAAGAUGACUCAGAGAGUAAAGACACUUGCCACUAAGGCUGAAAGGCCUGUCUUUGAUACCCAGAAUCCACCUGGUCCAAGGAAAGGAAUGGGCGCCUUCAAGUCAACCUGCAACUGCCACACCUACACAAUGGCAUGCCCCACUCAACAAAGAAAUGAAUGUAAUUUAAAAAAAAAAGCUGGACAUGCAUGGUGAUCUGCUUAUAUUCCCAGUGCUUGGGAGAAGACACAGGAUUUCCCAGAGUGUGCUGGCUAGACUAGACUAGUCAAAUUGCAAGUUCCUAGUUCAGUGAGAGUUUCUGCCUCAUGAAUGAAGUAGAGAGCAACCAAGGAAGAUGCUCAGUGUCUCAACUCUUGGUCUCCACAUGGAUGCCUACUCAAAUACAUGUGAGUAUUAGAGCAUGCGAGACACACACACACACACACACACACACACACACACACACACACACACACACAUUGAGAAAUGAGGAAAUGGCAGAAGCAUGCAUACUUGGUCCUCUGUGUUGACAUGUUUUCCAUCUGUGAAUUCCACUAAGCACAGGUUGAAAAUAUUCAGAAAAAAUUAUGUAUGGAACAUGUAUAGAACCUUUUUAUCAUUGUCAUCACUUCCUAAACAGAACCAUAUAGCAACUGUUUAUAUUAUCAGUAAUCUAGAGGGAAUUUUAAACAUAGAAUGAUGUUUGUAGGUUAUAUGCUGAUAUGUCUUAAGGAUCAUGUGCAUCCAUGGGUUUUUUGGCAUCCAUGGACUUCCUAGAACUCUUGUCUCAUGAUUAUUGAGGGAGAAGAGUAUUUACAACUCUUAUAAGGAUUUUUUUUAAAGAAAAAAAGUUUCCAACAAACCAACUAAACAACAACAACAAAAAGGCCCAAACUAACAAACCAACCAAACGAACAAAUAAAAAAUCAUGAAAAGAAAAAGAAAAGAGGUAGUAACCAGUACAUUGAAUCUAGAGAGGGACUCUUUUCUAAGAAGGUAGACAUGGAAAGACUCGCUGCAUCUGAAGGAAAAUAUAGAUAUUCUUAGCCAUGUAUUUGGAGUUCUUACCAAAAGGCUGAGAUCUGGUUGUAGAUCUUGGGCUUAUUUUAAUCAAGAGCAAGACCAUCUUGUGUGCUCCAUGUCUUUAAGCAGCGCAGUCAGGGCGGAAAAGGGUUCAGGAGCACUCCUUGCUCCUGCCAAGCUUGCAGGCUUUGAUUUAAGAGACCGUAUCAUCCCAGAUCAUCAUGCCAUGGCCAAUCAUGGCAUCCAAACCUCUAAUUAAACUGACUGUGGAAUCCGAGGCUGAGAAGAGUUAGGUCUAAAGCUUUACACUCAGAAUAGUAUUGGGUAAGGAUUUAGAAAGUGGCUUUGGGACCAGAAAUAGCUCUGUGUGAGUGCAAUUCUACCAUCAUUUAUCAUUGAGUAACCCUGUAAGCAAGUUAUCCUUUGUUUUCACAUCAGCUGAAUGAGGGGACUCCAUACUAUUUCAACAAAUAAGCCUCAGAAUGAGACAUUUUCCUUCUACGAUUACUGUAAAAAUAAACCCAAAGAAGACAAAUGCUUAGUCCAAUGCUGGGUAUGAGGUCAGGGUAAACACUGAUUCACGUUAGCCAUUAUAUGAGCAUUUUCAUGCAUGAAAAUGAAACAUUACAAACUUGCAUGUACAGAAAAAAUUUUAAAAUGUUAUGGAUACUUCUACAAACAGAAUAUAAUAAACACUAGAGAAGGCACAGAGGCCACAAUGUUUAGUCUAUGCCUUGCUAAGUGUAUGACCAGCUGCAGUUACCAUGCUCAGAAGCUCUUACUCAUGGUUGACUCAAGUCUAGGUCCUUUUCCAAACCCUGUUUGGCCUGCCCUGGUGCAAUGACAGUCUUUUUUUUAUAAAAACUUCAGAGACCCCUCCCAACCAUCUGGGAUCUGGAUACCCCUUUUCUCCCUGCUCUUCCCCUGGAAUUCCUUUUGAAGAAAACCAGGAAGUUUAAAUUUGCUGGCUGUGGCUUAGGGCUGCCAGGAACGAAAACCAAUCCUCUUUCAAAGGUUCCAGAAUUGGCUGAUAGGAAUGAAAUGAGUGAAGCAGUGGAUGUAAGGCAGGAAGGGUGAGGGACACCAAAGAAAAGCAAUCCUUUCCAAGCCCUCACCAGACCCAGGAAGAAUGGUGUUCCUCUGCUUCUCUUCCGGCCGUCAGCCACACCAUCCCUGAUUCGGCCAGAGCCUUUGGGUGGGCAUCCAUCUGUGCUGUCACCCCUUAUCCCACUUCCUGAGGUUUUCACAGAUUCUGUUUCUAAUAGUCCAAGUAGCUUAGGAUGUUUGUUCUCUCUCUUGGGAACUAAUUCCACCCCCCACCCCCCACCCACCUCUUUUUUUUUUUUUAAAUAUAAAUUCCCAGCUACCACUUUGCUUAACUAUUUUUCCAAUGUUAGUUUUCUUCUUGCUGGAGAUGAAUAACACAGGACCAAAUUAAAACUCAUAGAAUAGCACAAGUUAAUUGGAGUCUGAAAAGAUCAGGAAACUUGAAGCUCAGCUUGAUAAAAAAAAACCCCAUAGGGUUUGGAAAUGAGUCUUAUGGGAACAAAAAAUAAAUAAAUAAAUAAAAAAGAAUCUGUUUUCUCUUGCCCCAGGGAUCCACUUACCAACUUCCUAUAGUAAUCUCUGAACUUCUGAACUACAAUCAAAUGCUUAGUUUAAAUAAACAAUAUGUUUAUGCUUCUACUUUACAUAUACUGGUAAAAAAGUGUCUGAGAUGCAAAAUAAAGUUUUACAAUCUUCUUAGUUACUGACAUAAACUCUAAUAUAGUAGAAAAUAGUGUAGUAAGAUGGUUGACUUCUUUUUUGAUGGAGUUGACAUGCAUAUAAUUUUCUUUCUCAAUUAAAUAUACGGAGGAUAAAAGCCAUACUGUGUAGUCUAAUGUACCCUCCCUACAGUUUUUCUUUUCAUUUCUAGAUUUGAUUUUACAUCUAGGAUGAUGAUAUAGCUUAUUUAGUAAAACACUUUUUGUACAAGAGUGAGAACAAGCUUGAGUUGGGAUCCCCAGCACUCAUAUAAAAAAGUCCAGGAAUAGGACUUUCUUAGGUCGUGCGAUCUAUAACACCUGUGCAUGAGAGAUGAAUCUGUGGAAUUCACGGACCAGUCAGUGUCAAACAGUCAAAACAGAUAACUUGUCUCAAAAGAUAAGAUGAAGAAUGAUUGAGGAAGAUACUAUCAUCCUCUCACUUCCAUGUGCAUGAGCAUAUGUGCUUAUGCAUCCUCAUGCACGUGUGCACACACAUAAAUACACACAUAAAUGUGCACACAUGUAUGUACACCUUACUUUUUUUAUGUGGUUAGCACUGAGGAAGUCCUCUAAGUAUCAAGUGGUAAUAAAUUUGAUAAGGAACUUAUUGGGGGUGAUCACAACACAAAUAAGAACUACCAUUCUGGGCUUCUGGGUAAUGGAAAUAGAACAGUUAACCUUUAGUCUAUCAGCUGAAUUUUGGCUUAAGAAUCUAAUGACACAAAGUCAUUACCCCUGAAGGUCCAAGGUCUUUGGGGAAAUGAGUAUAGUGGUUUCAGCUCCAUCCCCAAAGAGCCUGGAGUCUCCAUCAGAAUGGCUGCCAUUACAAUUACAGCUAAUUGUCACUAGUGCUGUUGGAAACAGUAUUGGAUGAGAAGGCAGACUGAAAUCACUUGCAUGGACCAUUCUAGGUAGCCUCGAACAGCUAAAGGUUGCUCCUCACCAAGGCUGAUGAAAAACUCACCUUUGAAAUUUAGAGAAAACGAAUGGAAGGCAUGAAAAUGUCUACUCAUAAGUUUAGUAGCAAAGCCUUUCUUCCCAUACAGAAUAGUGUUUUAAUAGCAGCUUCCAUUUGGACUAUAUUUUAUCAAAGUCGUGUCUGUGUUGAGACCAUGAACAAGGGCAAGGUAAAUCAGUCAGUCUACUUCCAGUGAGAAUCAAAUAUCUCUCUGGGGACAGCUACUACUAAAUCUGGGUUCUUUCAGGUGACAGAAUCUUAACUACUGCUUGUUCUGGCAAUGAAAGUCAAUGCUGGUUCUUCAGAAGAACAUCCAUCGGAGAGCCUUUAAAAUUGACUUUAGUUGGACAUUUAGAGGUACAGUUUGUUUAUUUCUUCAUCUACUGGAAGUUGUAUUUAAGCUAUAAACAGCAACAAUGAUACAUUUUUAGAAUAAAAGAGUCAACUCAAUAUAACCAAUGGAGUGAAAUAACCCUAGGCUCUUUACUUUACAUAUUUAUAAAGAAGUUUCCUACUAUGUAACGGUUUCCUGUGAAAUGCCAUAAAGGAUGUGGACAACUUCUCUUCCAAUUGACAUUUCUAAAUUGGUGACAUACAAUUACCAUCUCCAUAUUCACACUGCUAAGUAAGUUGAAAUUUUAAAUUAUAUACUUGUAGCUUCUUGAAAUCUUCCCUAAGUCUAAAAUGGACAUUCAGUGUCUUGAGAGUUGAUUGUAAGAUGUUAACCUCCCCACUCUCCUGAGCAGAAUGUGCCUCCCUGGAAAAUUCCUGAAGACAGAUUACUGCUAUGUUAACUACUUCCUAAUCUUGGAACUGUUUCCUGUGAUUAUCUUGUUCUUGUUACAUUGUAGGUGAACCCUAUCCAAUGGGAAAUUCUGCUUAUAUUCACAAUCCAAGAACCAGAGACUUUGAAUUGGAAGGUAGCCACGAAGUAGGAGUGGAUUGAGUAGGUUUAUGUGAUGGUUUGCCUGUUUGAUAAUUACAUAAAUUGUUCAAUUAUUUGUAUGGUACUCGGACAUAUGAGAUAAAUUCCAAAAAGUUCUGAUAUAGGACUUGAGGAAAUUUAGAAACUGAGUCAUUCUGGUAUUUGUUUUGAAGCUGGCCAGUUGUAAAACGUGCAUUGUUACUUUAGGGGUUUCCCAUAAAUGUUAUGAGCUGCUGUAUCUUCCCUUAACAUGGCCACAGUGUGGAAGUGGUUGGAAUUUGACAGACAGGUGGUAUCAAUGAAGAAGCCAUGCUGAUCCCAACUUUACUAGUCAGGAUCCUUCAGAGGAAUAAAAACCAUAGGAUAGAGACAGAUAUGUAAGAGAGGAUUUGUUAUAGGAAUUGGCCUACGUGUUUUUGGAGGCUGAUCUGCCAGUUGCUAGCUGGAGAUGCCAGAGAGCUGUGGUAUACUCAGUCUCAUUCUGAGGGUCUGAAGGCUUCAGGUAUAAGUCCUGGAAUCAUAAGAUCCCAAACCAAGGAGCACUGUUUUCUAAAGCAUAGGAGAAAACAGAUGUUGCAGCUCAACAGGGAGAGAGAGAGAGAGAGAGAGAGAAAGAGAGAGAGAGAGCAUGCCUUUCUUUUUGUCCUGUUUGGUUCUUUGGUAGAUUAGGCUGAUGGCUACUACACUGGUGAGGGUGCAUCUCUACUCAGGCUACUGAUCCAAAUGCUAAUACCAUCUAGAAAUACCCUCAUGAAAAAGCAUAGAAAAUAUGUUUUGCCCAUCAUCAAGGUAUCCCAUAUCCAUAUCCUAAUCAGGUUAACACAUAAAAUUAACUGUCACAGCAAGUUAUUCAGACACAUGGUAGGGAAGGAGUCAGGGGUUCAGCCCUCAAGGUCAGAGGAAGGAUUGAACCUGAAUUAUAGAGCUCUAAGGCACAGAGAAUCCACAGAAGCCAGCAAGUUCAUCCAUGAAGGUUGAACGGAAGGGAAGACAGUUGGCCGUAGAGCCCCGAGACAGAGCCAUACUUCAGGAAGGAACAAAGGUUGAAUGAAGGAAGCUAAGGACCAGCUCUAAGAAGGCUAAGACUAUGAAGAAAUUCCUCGUCCCUGAGUAAAGACACAGAGUAUUAAGCACGAAGGGUGGCCUCUGGUGUCACACUGUGGAGAAGUAAGAUAUAGAUAAAGCUGUGUUCAUUAGAUACGUCAAUACUGGGGCCAUUAGCGAGUCUGGGUUUCUGAAAGCAGUUUCUGUGGCACACCCUGACAGGAGCCACACUGCAAAGUCAGAAAACAGCAGGGAGAGAAAGCUUGGCUGUGAACUGAAACAAAAUAAUAAUAAAAAGGGAAGGUAAUCAGGGCCAUGUCCGGGGUUUUAAAAAAAUAUCCUCCCAAUUUUGUGUGUAAAGAAUUAAGAUUGUGUUUACAGGACUGGCCCACAGAAUCAGCUAAGCAUGGGCUCGCAGAAAUUGAAGCGAGAAGCAGGAACCCUAUAUAGGUCUGAGAAAACCCUGUGGAAGGAGAAGUUGAGUACAUAGUGAGUCUGGGACUGAAAGAAUGAGGCUCUGGGAGUGGAAACUGUGGCCCAAGGGACUGUGAACCCUACAGGUGAGAAGGAACACCUACCCCAGUACCUAAAUGGGUGGAAGGGAGAGAGAUCUAGAUUUAAACACAUCUGUGGGGAAGGUGCUAGAGAAAGACUUUUAUUUCCAAAAAGAAAUUACAGUUUUCAUCAGAGAAUAAAGAAGAGACUGGAAACGAAACAGAUUUUUAAAGAGCUCAAAAACCUGAAACUGGUUUAAAAACCGAAAAAACAAACAAAAAACCACUAAACAAACCUAUAGGCUGGUGAGAUGGCCCUGUGGGUACAGCCACUUGGAACCAAGGCUGAUGACUUGAGUUUUGUCCUGGGACUCUAGCCUAAUUAGGGUGACUAUUGCUGUGAUGAGACAUCAUGACCAAAAGCAACUUUGGGGAGAAAGGAUCUAUUUAGUUUGCACUUCCAGAUCAUAGCCUAUCUUGGAGGAAAUCAGGAUAGGAACUCAAACAGGGCAGGAACCUGGAGGCAAGAGCUGAUCCAGAGGGCAUGGAGAGGUGCUGCUUACUGACUUGCUCAGUAAGGCUCACAAGGCUCGCUCAGUCUGCUUUCUUAUAGAACCCAGGAUCAUCAGCGCUGGUUUAGCAUCACCCAUAAUGUGCUAGAGCUGACUCCAUCAAUCACAAAUUAAGAAAACAGUCCUAGAGGUGUGAUGGUCAAUGUUAUCUUUUAAGUCUGAAUUAAGAGAUCUAUAAAGCAAAAAUUCCUCCGACCUGUAAGCCCCACAUGCCCAGGGACAGAUAACUUCCUGGAAUACUGGAGGCUGUUCUUAUAAGAUAACAAAUCCAUGUGUUUUUGCUUCUGUAAACAAGCUUGGAGUGAACAGGAUGUGUGCUUGAUGACACGUACACAGGAAGUACGUCAGGAUGUGUGCUUGCCUCUGAUUGCACAGAGAGUGGGAAGUACUUUUCCUUGUGAGUUUUGCCUUUGACUAAUGUAAUUAGCUCCUGACAAGCGUAAUCUGGCACCAUCCUCCGAGUAUGAGUCUCAGGUAUGGACCUGGCCAGUAUCCAGGGCACUGGCCAGUAUUUAAUAAAGGGUCGUAUUUGUUGAAUUUUA
This is a long non-coding RNA of Peromyscus californicus insignis, 16336 nucleotides long. RefSeq lists it as uncharacterized. The transcript is spliced from 9 exons. The record is from RefSeq and is a predicted model, not a curated record. NCBI's taxonomy places the organism in Eukaryota, Metazoa, Chordata, Mammalia, Rodentia, Cricetidae.